GGGACGCCGAGGGGAGGAGGAGGAGGCGGCUCGGAUGGCUGGCUCGGCUCUCGCUCGCUCUCCCUCCCAUGGGCAAGUCCGGCUCACACCCUGCUUCUCCCGCUCACUCACAGCCCCCUUGGCUCUCCCUCCUCCUCCUCCUUCCCCUGCGGGAUCCGCUCGCCGCCGCCGCCGCCGCCGCAGACGGCAAGUCGUGGCAGCCAGACGUCGGCGCGUAACCCGGCGCUCCGUGCGUGACUCCAGGCGACGUCAGCGCGCGCUCCGCGUUCCCCACCCCUCCUCCCAACUCCGUGGCUCGCGCCCUUCGCUCUCGCGUCCCUCCGUUUUAGCUGCCGCCGCGGCGGCCGCCGAGCGCGCUCUUUCCGCCCCCUUCUCGCGCGUGAGCGCGCCCUAUCGGCUCCUGGCGCGUCAACAUUCCGCGGGCCAGGCCUUGGGGCGCGUCUGAGGAGGGGGAUGUCUGUGGCCUCUCCGCCCACACUUCCUCCACCCACCGCCCACAGCGCCCCAGAAGGACCUAUUACUCGUUUGGCUUCUGAAGGCCGAAGCCAGGCUCUGGCGGGGAUAGAACCCUGAAGGGCCUGCGCCAGCUCCAACUUAGGGCCCUUAUCUUUUGCUGCCUCUUACGUAUUGUAGGCAGUGCCUGAUGGCUGAGAAGAAUCGCAGAGGACUAGAAAAGGUUUGAGUCUGAAAUUAUCUGGCACAGAGGAUUAAAGCUCAGAAAUAAGUGAUUGCGAAACAGUUCAACUUCCCUGUUAAUGACAACAACAACAGCAACACGCUUAUUAAUUCCUAGCUGGAGCAUCAAGCUUAUGAAGAUUUCCAAGACUUUAUUGUUGACCCUUGUUGAAGAGAACUCUACUUGGCUUCUUUCCUGGCUUUCCUAAAUUGUUCACAUACAAGAUAAACUACCGUCAUUCAGACUUACAGAAGUGAGAAGACAAGCUGAACCAAAUGUAAAAUGGUAGCAAUUUACAGAUGUCAGAACUAACAUGUGGAUGAACUUAGAGAUGGAGAAGAAAGCUGGGCUUUUCCAAAGAGUGGAUCUAUCUGAACUGGAUAGCACUAUUGAACUUUGUUGCAUAUUUUGUGGUAGCUCUAAAACUCCUCUGCUUGCUUACAUACAACCAGACACCAGUGCCUUCUGAAGCUAAUCCAGGCCAUUUUUAUAACCUAAUGCAGUAGCACUUUGCAAUUAGAUGAAGAAGAUCGGUGGGAUUUCUUUCUGUGGUGAUUAAAAUGUGUCAGGGGAAGAAAUCAAGACAAUACUCCAAGUGAAAAAUAUAAAGUCAGUUAUUUCUUUAAUAUUUUGUGUUAUAGUAAUCAUUUUUAUAUUUUGAGCAUACUUUUUCUUGUCUACUUAAAUACUCAAAAUUAAUUAUAAAAUGUAAAUGUAAGCACAAUGAGAUACCAUCUCAUCCCAGUUAAAAUGGCUUUUAUCAAAAAGAUAGGGAAUAAUGAAUACUGGUGGAAGGAUGUGGAGAAUGGGGAACCCUCGUACACUGUCAAUGAGAAUGUAAAUUAGUACAGCCACUAUGGAAAACUGUAUGGAAGUGCCUCCGAAAACAAAGUAGAACUACCAUGUGAUCCAGCAAUUACACUAGUGGGUAUAUAUUCAAAAGAAAGGAAAUCAACAUAUUAAAGAGAUAGCUGCAUUCUCAUGUUUAUUGAAGUCCUGUUGAAAUAGCCAAAAUAUGGAAUCAACCUAAGUGCCCAUCAGUGGAUGAAUGGUUAAAGAAAAUGUGAUUGAUAUGCAAUGGAAUAUUAUUCAGCCAUAAAAAAGAAUGAAAUCCUGGCGGGGCACAGUGGCUCAUGCAAGUAAUCCCAGCACUGACCUCAUGAAGACAGAGAGUAGAUUGGUGGUUACCAGAGGUUGAGAAGGGGAGAGGAGAGGAGGGAUGAAGAGAGGUUGAUUGAUGGAUAGAAAUAUACAGUUUGAUAAUGAUAAAUCAGUAGGGUGACUAUAGUUUAUAAUAACCUAUUGUAUGGUUCAAAAUAGCUAAAAGAGAAUAAUUGAAAUAACGUAAGACAAAAAUUUAAGAUGAUAGAUAUCCCAAUUACACUGAUUUGAUCUUUACAAAUUAUAUGAAUGUAUUAAAUUAUUACAUGUAUCCCCAAAAUAUGUACAAGUAUUUUGUAUCAAUAAAAAAUAAAAUUUAAGAUAAAGUAAAUGUAAUGAUUAGCUUAUAUUUCCUAGAUCGGAAAUAAAUAUUUACUUAAGUAAAAAAAAAAAAAAAA
Molecule: long non-coding RNA, 2235 nt
Filed under: Homo sapiens (human)
Lineage: Eukaryota; Metazoa; Chordata; Mammalia; Primates; Hominidae
Description: mitosis associated long intergenic non-coding RNA 1, transcript variant 3 (MALINC1)
Source: RNAcentral